RNAcentral lists this ribosomal RNA (254 nucleotides) under uncultured bacterium. RNAcentral's name for it is "partial 16S ribosomal RNA". It matches the Rfam family "Bacterial small subunit ribosomal RNA", at positions 524 to 776 of the family's 1533-position model. The record is from RNAcentral.
UACGUAGGGUGCGAGCGUUAAUCGGAAUUAUUGGGCGUAAAGCGCGCGCAGGUGGUUUCUUAAGUCUGAUGUGAAAGCCCACGGCUCAACCGUGGAGGGUCAUUGGAAACUGGGAGACUUGAGUGCAGAAGAGGAAAGUGGAAUUCCAGGUGUAGCGGUGAAAUGCGUAGAUAUCUGGAGGAAUACCGGUGGCGAAGGCGGCAUCCUGGACCGAUAUUGACACUCAGUGAGCGAAAGCCAGGGGAGCAAACGGG